AGGGUGUUGGGGUCACUGAGCCAGCAGCUGUGAUGGCUGAGGGGCCAGGGAGCCCCAAAAUAGCAAAGGCCUGCUGGUGGAAAAACUCAGAGGUUUGAAAUAUCCUUCUUACUUCUGUAAAGAAAGGAAAAGCCUCUCCCACAAUGCCUUGUGAAUGAAUUGUAACCCUACACACCCCAGACUCUGUUUAAAGGAAAACUACAACUCCCAGCUGCCUGUGCGGCUGCAUGAUUGACCUGGUCCCUGCUUCGCCCCUUCCCUCUCCUCAUUGGUUCCCUUCCCUAGUCUCGCCUUUGUAGUGCCCCCAUACCCUCAGCUCAUUGGCUGCAAUGCUCUGCCCGGGCUGAGUACAAAAUGCUGGAUCUCGCGUUGCUUGCUCUCUUUCUUUCUGGCUUCCCUCUGUGGAGGAAGGAAUAAACCUCGAACGUGGAAUUUGCCAUGCGGAGAGCCCUCCUGACUCUUUAUCUCUGGGAGUUGUCCUGGACUGUCCACAUCAAGUGCCUCCAGUGUCCCUGUCAACCAGGAGAAUUCUUAGGAGAUUUUGGUUGUAGUCUGGAGCAAGCGGCAGUGCUCUCUUUUGCUCUUGGGUUUCCUGUUGCAUAGCAAAGCAUGGAAAGAAGAAGCUUAGGCUUUAGAGAGACAAGCUGGAAACUAUUGUGGCUGCUUCUUGAAUGCAGGAAUAAAGAGAGAUAGCCAUUUAAAAUCAAACAAAACCCAAACCAAACACAUCUGAACUGUGCUUACCAGUUAGUAAGAGAAUGCAAUUGUCUUAAACUCAAGGUAGGUAAAUAUUUUUACUGACUAAAAUGGCACUAAUUUUAAGAGUGAGACUACAAAAGAUUUAAAACAACAUUCAGAUAAACCACCCCUGGCCUGCAACCCUCUGUCUGAGGGAUAGCAGUCUUUCUACCUGUGGGAAAGCUGUGAGUGCUAGUUAGUGCUAUGGUCAAUAUCCAUCAGGAAGACACUGACCUUGCACUUUCUGAGGCCUCAACAGCUCAGUUCACUUACUCUCCUUAAUUGCAAAUAGCAUUAAAACUUUCUUUGUCCUCAUACUUUUCUUGGAAGAAGAGGGAUUUGCCUGCUUGACAAUUGCUAAAACUCAAAAAAAUUAGACCUCAGAGUUCUUGCUGCGUAACAGGCUAUGCUUUAGUCAAUAAUUUCAUAGCACAUUACAGGACUGGAAAAAACCCAAUUAUUUUAAAAUAAGUUAAUUACUCCUACUGCAUAGUGUUUCACUGCUGACUGUUGAGUGGCAUUCUGGAAGAAAUUAAAGCUUAAAUUUCCUUUCCAAACUGCCCAAACAAGAAGACAAAAGUCCUGGAUUCAUUUGAGGGGGUGUGGAGUGGGUAAACUUAAUACAUACCUUGCAUUUAGAAGUAAUUUGUUGUAACUAUCUUCUCUCUGUAUUAGUUCUUACAAUAUUUUAGAAAUCAAAAUAAUUUUGUUCCUGUCUGAUUGCACUUAAUGGAAGAAAAGAACAUGGUAAUUAAAAGCUUUCCUGUCUGAACAAGGUAAUCCUAUUAAUAAAAAGGCCAUACUUCUGUGCACAAGUUACUGCUAGCAAAGAACCCCGUCAGACAAUAUGAACAAAGCCAACUGGUUCAGCAUUUCAGUGCUCAGGGAGAUUAGUGAUUUUAAUUAUACAAAACUUUUUGGUUGCAAAUGUAUUUGUUUUAUUUAACAGAUUACCUUCUAGUUAGUUGUCUUAAUAGUCCUUUUGUUCAAGAGGGGGAUUUAAGCAAAAUGUAGAUCACAAGGUCCUGUUCUCCCUGAUUGGAGAGCAAACUGGCCUAAGUCACUGCAAGGAAGUACUGUCUUGGGCAGUACAGAAAAAACAUUAUCUCAAGUGGGAGUAAAUUCAAAUUAUCUAAGUAGUGGCACUGGAUUUUUCAGCAAACCUCUUUCAUAAAGUACUCCUAAGGAAGUAAAUAGGCGGUUUUCAUCUGUUCAGGUGAAGGAAGGAAUGAUCAGGAAGGAAUGAUCUUGGUGAAUCUUUAGGUGCCUAGCAUUAAGUAGGAAGAUUGAAAAACAGGAAGAAGUAGGGCCUUGGUUUGUUCGAACAUCUCUCUAAAUUUUCAGUAUUUUCAUAUAAGCAGCAGAAUGUAACUUUUUUUUCUGUGAAAACUGUUUGGGAUGAACUUGCAUUGGUCUUUCAUUUUAUUCUAUUCAUUAUUUGUUGUAGUAUACAAUCCUCUGAUAUUGUUAGGUAGAGAAGGAGAGCUAAUCUAACAGUGCCUGAGAAAUAUUUCC
RNAcentral lists this long non-coding RNA (2253 nucleotides) under Corvus moneduloides (New Caledonian crow). RNAcentral describes it as "lncRNA (ENSCMUG00000019251.1)". The record is from RNAcentral. Lineage: Eukaryota; Metazoa; Chordata; Aves; Passeriformes; Corvidae.